RNAcentral lists this ribosomal RNA (406 nucleotides) under uncultured bacterium. RNAcentral's name for it is "partial 16S ribosomal RNA". It matches the Rfam family "Bacterial small subunit ribosomal RNA", at positions 30 to 526 of the family's 1533-position model. The record is from RNAcentral.
AUUGAACGCUGGCGGCAGGCCUAACACAUGCAAGUCGAACGAGUGGCGGACGGGUGAGUAAUGUCUGUGAAACUGCCCGAUGGAGUGGGAUAACUACUGGAAACGGUAGCUAAUACCGCAUACCAUCGGAUGUGCCCAGAUGGGAUUAGCUAGUAGGUGGGGUAACGGGUCACCUAGGCGACGAUCCCUAGCUGGCCUGAGAGGAUGACCAGCGACACUGUAACUGAGAAACGGUCCAGACUCCUACGGGAGGCAGCAGUGGGGAAUAUUGCACAAUGGGCUCAAGCCUGAUGCAGCCAUGCCGCGUGUAUGAAGAAGGCCUUCGGGUUGUAAAGUACUUUCAGCGAGGAGGCGUUACUCGCAGAAGAAGCACCGGCUAACUCAGUGCCAGCAGCCGCGGUAAUAC